This 83-nucleotide transfer RNA is filed under the name Thermoplasmata archaeon. Its description in RNAcentral is "tRNA-Ser". It matches the Rfam family "tRNA". From Rfam's summary of the family: Transfer RNA (tRNA) molecules are approximately 80 nucleotides in length. Lineage: Archaea; Methanobacteriati; Thermoplasmatota; Thermoplasmata. The record is from RNAcentral. RNAcentral also lists the same sequence under 1 other name.
GCUGAGGUAGCCUAGCCCGGUAAGGCGCCGGCCUUGAAAGCCGGUGGGGCAACCCCUCGGGAGUUCAAAUCUCCCCCUCAGCG